This is a long non-coding RNA of Mirounga angustirostris (Northern elephant seal), 2077 nucleotides long. RefSeq lists it as uncharacterized. Lineage: Eukaryota; Metazoa; Chordata; Mammalia; Carnivora; Phocidae. The transcript is spliced from 5 exons. The record is from RefSeq and is a predicted model, not a curated record.
CUCUCUUUUUUUUGUCCUUUUCUCACAACUUAUAAUAUUGUGCAUGUGAAUUUUCUUUCUCUUUUUUUUAUUGCAUAUUGUAGAUUUUUCUUUCUUCCUCAAAUUCAGUCUUCGAAUGUAUUGCUUAGUUCUACUAUUUUCUGUUUUAUAAAUAAUUAUUUUCUAUUGCUAUCUUUAUUAUUUCAUUUUUAAAAAAUAUUUCUUAGAUGUGCUUUUAUUCAGAAUUCUUUUUUUAAAAAAAGAUUUUAUUUAUUUAUUUGUCAGACAGAGAGAGCACAAGUAGGGGGAGUGGCAGGCAGAGGGAGAAGCAGGUUCUCCAUUGACCAAGGACCCCGAUGUGGGGCUGGAUCCCAGAACUCCCGGGAUCAUGACCUGAGCCUGAGGCAGAAGCUUAACUGACUAAGCCACCCAUGGAUCCCUUAUUCUGAAUUCUUAAGUCAAAUAAUGCAUUUCAUGUUAUCCCUUCUUUUCUAAAGCAGUAAAUUUGAAUGAUACAUUUGACCACAUCCCUUGUGUAUGUAUGUGUAGUAAUAUUCGCCAUUGCAUUGUUUAAAAAAAUAGCUUAUAAUGGGGAUUUUUAUUUCCUUUUUGAUACCAUAUAAUUAUUUCAAAAAGUUGUAUUAAAAAUGAUCAAGUCUUGUCUUUCCUUUUAUUUUUAAAAGGAAUACUAUUAAUUUUUGGUGCCUUCUUUUGUGGCUAUGGUAUUUUGGUUUAUAAAUUUUUACUUUUUAACAUUUAUUGAAAUCUCAUUUGUGGUCUUAAAAAUAGCAAGGAGUGUCAGUGGGGAAAAAAUCAAGGUAGCUACUAAAUCAUUAAACUAUUUAGGCCCUUGAGAACCAAUGAUAUCAAAAGUGGUUUGUACAUAUUUCAGAGGAUAUGCAGGUUUUAGAAAGUAAAUAAUAAAAGAUCUGUUUUUAUUUUAAUAAAACAAAUUAAGUUUUAUUAAUAUUUACUGUACCCCUGUUACGGCCACUCUGAUUGCAGUAGAUUGAUUCUAAGAAUUGUCCAACUCUUCACCCCUCCCUGCAUCUACACUGUUGGUUCUCAAUUCACUGACUCUGAGCUCAGCCAUAUAACUUGCUUUGCCCAGUGAGAUGGAAGCACACUGUAAUAAGCAGGGUCUUACAGGAUUGGGUUUGCUCACUCUUGCCCUCUGUCAUUGCCAUGAGAACAUAUCUGGGCAUACCUGCUGGAAGAUGAGAAGUGGAAAGAUCUAAGCUCCUCCAAUAAUCCCAGCUGAGGCCACCCUAGACCAGCUGACAGUCAGUCAACCCUCAGACACGUAAGCAAGCCCAGACAAGAUCAACAGAACCUCCUCGCUGACCCACAGCUGACCUCAGAGUAUAAGUCUUCAUCCAUCACACCAAGAGGUCGAAGGAACCAUGAUGUAAUCAGAUCUUGCAAGAAGUCUAAAUACAUACUGUACUGUGAAAACUAACUUUUUUGUUUCCUUUAAGUGCUGUACCAAUGAUGUGAUUAUUUGUAACAUACCACCCCCACAGUCUGUCACAGACCAACGGCUAGAAGGAUCCUUUUAACAUCUAAGUCCUCUCAAAUCCUCCAAUGACUGCCCAUGGAAUAUGAGACCUGAGCAUGCCUUUCCCGUUGUGGGCAUGGUAUGGUUUGAAGGAAGCCACUCACGUAUCCAUCUAAUUUCCGGAAGAUCUUGAUUGUGAAGGGCUGUUUGUAGAUCCCGUCAGAGGUGCCAGGGACAGCCUGGAAGGAAAAAAGAAACCCGUAUAAAUUUAACAAAGAAUCCUUGGAGUUCUGAAUUGGAAGCUUAGCCCACAACGCAGGAAACUCGACCUGCUUGGGAAAUUGGAUUUGGUAAGCUUUGGGAUGUUGAAAUUCCUGGAUGACUUAACAGGGUGUCUAGAACGUGGGUUCCUGUGAAUGAUGACUUGGAGCCGUGCAGUGCCAGCUGUGGGGACACGUUGCUAUGGAAACCCUGGAGCUGGAAGUUCCUCCAUGACUAGGAGAUGCUGUCAAUUAGAUCUAUGCACUUGGGGAGUCUAACGAAAACAGACACUUGUCAUUUUUCCUGCAGCCAUCUAACAUUAUAUAUAUUUAAAAUAUG